RNAcentral lists this ribosomal RNA (397 nucleotides) under uncultured bacterium. RNAcentral describes it as "partial 16S ribosomal RNA". It matches the Rfam family "Bacterial small subunit ribosomal RNA", at positions 523 to 918 of the family's 1533-position model. The record is from RNAcentral.
AUACGUAGGUGACAAGCGUUAUCCGGAUUUACUGGGCGUAAAGGGCGUGUAGGCGGUCUUGCAAGUCAGAAGUGAAAUUCCUGAGCUCAACUCGGGCGCUGCUUCUGAAACUGCAGGACUUGAGUGCUGGAGGGGAUAGCGGAAUUCCUAGUGGAGCGGUAAAAUGCGCAGAUAUUAGGAAGAACACCGGUGGCGAAGGCGGCUAUCUGGACAGUAACUGAGGCUGAGGCGCGAAAGCGUGGGGAUCAAACAGGAUUAGAUCCCCUGGUAGUCCACGCCGUAAACGAUGAAUACUAGGUGUAGGGGGUAUCGACUCCCUCUGUGCCGCAGUUAACACAAUAAGUAUUCCGCCUGGGGAGUACGGCCGCAAGGUUGAAACUCAAAUGAAUUGACGGGG